AUUGAACGCUGGCGGCAUGCCUUACACAUGCAAGUCGAACGGCAGCAUGAUCUAGCUUGCUAGAUUGAUGGCGAGUGGCGAACGGGUGAGUAAUACAUCGGAACGUGCCCUGUAGUGGGGGAUAACUAGUCGAAAGAUUAGCUAAUACCGCAUACGACCUGAGGGUGAAAGUGGGGGACCGCAAGGCCUCAUGCUAUAGGAGCGGCCGAUGUCUGAUUAGCUAGUUGGUGAGGUAAAGGCUCACCAAGGCGACGAUCAGUAGCUGGUCUGAGAGGACGAUCAGCCACACUGGGACUGAGACACGGCCCAGACUCCUACGGGAGGCAGCAGUGGGGAAUUUUGGACAAUGGGGGCAACCCUGAUCCAGCAAUGCCGCGUGUGUGAAGAAGGCCUUCGGGUUGUAAAGCACUUUUGUCCGGAAAGAAAUCGCACUUACUAAUAUUAGGUGUGGAUGACGUACCGGAAGAAUAAGG
This 473-nucleotide ribosomal RNA is filed under the name Burkholderia sp. oral taxon 406. RNAcentral's name for it is "bacterial SSU rRNA". It matches the Rfam family "Bacterial small subunit ribosomal RNA", at positions 30 to 491 of the family's 1533-position model. The record is from RNAcentral. Lineage: Bacteria; Pseudomonadati; Pseudomonadota; Betaproteobacteria; Burkholderiales; Burkholderiaceae.